This 1647-nucleotide ribosomal RNA is filed under the name Triticum aestivum (bread wheat). RNAcentral's name for it is "partial small subunit ribosomal RNA". Lineage: Eukaryota; Viridiplantae; Streptophyta; Magnoliopsida; Poales; Poaceae. The record is from RNAcentral.
AUGUCAGAGAGCUACCAUGCAUUGAUGGAGCUAGUGGUGGCCCGGGGGAGUGUAGAUGGGCGUGCCGUACUCUGGCGGGCACUCUGGCGCCGGCGGCGCUCCGUAUUCCGGCGCCGGCCGUGGGUACGCCGGAGCGGCAGGCGUCGGUGUUGGCGUCCCGUAGACCGGCGUGGGGGUGGGAGCAGGGCACUCGCACCCCGGUGCCGGGGUCGGCGUGCACAAGCAUCUCGGCGAUGGAGUACCGUACACGGGCGCCGUCGGUGGAGCGUACACCGGCGUGGGAGGAGGGAGCUCCGGCGUCGGCGGCGCCACGUAGACCGGCGUGGGGGUUGGAGUUGGGCACUGGCAUCCGGGCUCCGGGGUCGGGGUGCACAGGCAGCUCGGCGAUGGAGUUCCGUACACCGGCGUCGGGGAAGGACAUUGGCAUCCCGGCUCCGGAGUAGGGGUGCACAUGCAUCUCGGCGCCGGAGUCCCGUACUCCGGCGCCUGAUCGGGAGGGCAGUCCGGCGUCGGCGUCCCGUACACAGGCGCCGUGGGCGGAGCGUAUACCGGCGUCGGCGUCCCGUACACGGGCGGAGCAUACACCGGCGUGGGCGUCCCGUACACUGGCGCCGUGGGCGGAGCGUACACCGGCGUGGGCGUCCCGUACACUGGCGCCGUGGGCGGAGCAUACACCGGCGUGGGCGUCCCGUACACGGGCGGGGCGUACACCGGCGUGGGCGUCCCGUACACGGGCGGGGCGUACACCGGCGUGGGCGUCCCGUACACGGGCGGGGCGUACACCGGCGUGGGCGUCCCGUACACUGGCGGAGCGUACACCGGCGUGGGCGUCCCGUACUCCGGCGACUCCGGAGGGCAAUCCGGCGUUCCGCACUCCGGGGCUGGAGGCGGGAAGUAUUCAGGCACGGGCGUCCCGUAAACCGGCACGGCAGAAGGGCAUUGGCACCCGGGGGCCGGGGUAGGGGUGCACAGGCACGCCGGCACCGGCGUCCCGUACACGGGCGGAGCGUACACCGGCAUGGGCUUCAUGCGCCGGUGCGCGAACAAGGGCUUCCUGCCGAACCCGUGGCACGGGAAGCAGAUGUUGGCCGCCGCGCACUCGGGCGCCGCGGCCGAAGUCCGACCUCGCGUCGCCUUGCCGGCGACGGCGACGAAGGUGCCCUCGCCCUCGGCCAGCAGCGGCUCGAUCCUCGACGGCUCCUGCCCGGGGCACGGCUCGCCGCUCGCCGCGCUCUGGAGCUGCGCGAAGCACUCGGAAUCGGAAGCGCCGCGCACGCCGAGGCCGGCGUCGGCCGGGAGGGGCACGGCGAAGGCGCCCGUGCCGUCGAGGCUCGCGACGGCCUUGCUCUCGUAUUCACCGCCGCCGCUGUCGUUGCCCUUCUUGCACGUGAUGGCGACCAUGAGGCCCUUGAACGCCGCCUCGGCGCCCAAGCUCUUCCUCCCGCAGCCGGCGCACUGGGCCAUGCCGACGACGACGACGACCGACGAGUCCCCGCCGCCAGCGUCCGCCUCAGCGACCGCCAUCAUCAGCGCCCCAGCGCAGACGAUGAGAACGCGGAGCAGCAGCCUCCCUCCACCUCCUCCUUCCAUGGCGCCCAUCUCCACCUAUCUAUCUACCCGCUGAGCUUCUGCAACAACUACAAGUGA